UACAGAGGUCUCAAGCGUUGUUCGGAUUCAUUGGGCGUAAAGGGUGUGUAGGUGGCGCGCUAAGUCGGGUGUGAAAUUUCGGAGCUUAACUACGAAACUGCAUUCGAUACUGGCGUGCUUGAGGACUGGAGAGGAGACUGGAAUUCAUGGUGUAGCAGUGAAAUGCGUAGAGAUCAUGAGGAAGACCAGUGGCGAAGGCGGGUCUCUGGACAGUUCCUGACACUGAGACACGAAGGCCAGGGGAGCAAACGGG
Molecule: ribosomal RNA, 253 nt
Filed under: uncultured bacterium
Lineage: Bacteria
Description: partial 16S ribosomal RNA
Rfam family: Bacterial small subunit ribosomal RNA
Source: RNAcentral